GGGCCACAUCAAGCUUUGCCUUUUUGCAGUCUGCAUUUCUCUCUGUUGUUAUAUAGAAGCUUUUGCUGUACUUUUUAACCAGGAUGAGUAUUUUUGUGUUUCCGUGCCUCUUGGGUCCCCAGCUAUUCGUGCAGUUGCAGAGCUGGCUACUCUUCUUACACUAGGUUGGUUUCUGUGUUUACUACCUAACUGAGCUGGUUUUAGCUGAGGCUAAACCCUGAUUAAUGACUAUUAAAGCAAAACGGUGCUUUUGCCAAGCAUAGGGGUUAAAUAUAGUUAUGUGCUGAUAAUUGGAUGUGGUAAACAACUCUAUUUUAAUGUCAAUAAUAUUUUAAAGACAACAGUUUAUAGGAAUGAACUAAUCUGCUGUUUAACAUCACAAUGUAGAUGAGCAUGUACCUUACUUUGUACAUGGAUGAAAUAAGACUUGCUCAGUUUGGAAAGGCCUCAUUUUUGCAAGGGAUAGUGUGUCACCAUGGUUGUUACUCUUACAAAUAAGAAUAAAGUACUGAAAGGUGUUGCCUAGAAAGGCUUGCACUUCUGCCAGCUGUGCUUAUGCAAUGUAGUUGGAAGAUGAAGUAACUGAAAGAAACUGUUAUGUAAACAUCAUUACUAGAAUGCUUUCAGAGAUCAAAAGGUAAAUCCCAGAAAGCCUUCAGCAGCCAAAAAUGUUUUCUUUCAUAGAGUAGCAGGGCUGACAACCAAAGACGACACUGGGUCCAUUCCCCUGCCCCAGUUAUAGUUAUGUCACUGUUGGCAUAAAAUUGCCUGAAAGGGCUCUGGGGCAGAAGACUCCACAGUUUGUUUCAGUGCUUCCCUGUCCUUGCUGUCAGCAAAUCCCCUACUAUAUUCUCCAUGCAUCUCUCUUGCAGCCCAUUUAUGCUAUCCACCAGGUCCACAGAGAAGAGCUUACUUUCCUUCUGCACAACAGUCUUUUACAUACCUAAAGAUUGCUGUUACUUCUAUUACAGCUGUUGCUCUUUUUCUAGUCAAAAUUAUAUUUGAAUUGUAUUUCUCUACUUAGAGGUAGCAUUUUCUAGAGCCCUUUAACGUUCCUGCUUCUCUCCUUCUGUGAUUUACCACUCCAGCCAUUGCCCUCACUGAUGCUGAACUGGUUUGUAUGGCUUGUUUGCUGUACUGCAGUACACACCCAAGUAUUGUGGUUUGUUUUUUCUUGCAGUGGUAUAAUCUUUAAUUUCCCAGCCUGUGCUCCCACGCUCCCUUUUGUGCAAAUUGUCUUGAACAUCUUUGAAGCGUUUUUUGCCCUUUUUUAAAAUUUCUGUAAUAAGCAAUAAUAACCUGCAUGUAAAAUUUCUGUGGUCAGGUUCAUUGUAUUUCACCUUGCAUUACUGAGAAGGUUUCUCUGCCUUUGGGUGAUAAUUUGAGCUCUAAUUUUGUCCAGUCCAUUUUCUGGUUGCAGAUUAACUAGACCAAGUCUGCUUGGAACUUGAGAAUCAUUCUAUUUCUACCGGAGACCACUGUUGACUGAUUUCUGGGCAUUUUGUUCAUCCUGUGGUUGCUAUUUCCUUGACAAGCUUAUGAAAAUCAAGUGCCAUACAAUAGUCAUACUGUGUGAGGAAGGAAGGUAUGCAGUACCUGCCCAAGCAGCUCAGAAAUUCGGGAGCAGGGUUGAGGAUGGUGAAGUCUACAGAGCCAGUAGGAAGUGAAGAAGUGAGAAAAGCAAGCUCAGAGGAUAUCCUUUCUGUGCAUCCCGAAUGCCUUCACAUUACUUCCCAAGUACUCUUCUUACCUUGGCUUAGCGAUGAGAGCAUGGAAAUGAUGUUUCUCUGGUGAUCCUUUUUGCUGUUGUAAGUUGGAAUUUAUUUUUAAAGCAGUGUUUGAAAGAAAUCUGUAUGCUUAACACAAACUGCCUCUCCAAAUCUCUUCUGUAAUGAGUUCUAUGCAGCAAUAACAUUUCCUAAAGGUAUGUGCAUACUUACAAAACACUGCUUUAACCAUUUGGCUGUAAGGGCUUAAUCUGUCUCUAUUAUGUUGCCUACUCAGGGUUUGUGAAGUGGCUUCUGACAUUUCUUUGUGUUAGGUCUGGUUUAUGAAGUGCUUCUCUGAAUGAAUAGUGACUCUGCAUCGAGUGCUGUGCAAAACACAGGGAGGGGAGGUGAUCUAAGCACCCAAGAGCCGAACCAGAAUUCUUCAUGCACCCAAGACAAGCCACUGACAUUGUGCUGGAAGCUUUGUUUGCAAAGAAUAAUGCUGGAUUGCACUAUAAGCAAUGGCUCUUUGCCAAACAAUACACACGUUUCUCUUGGCAUGAAAUCAUGUAAUAUAAACAAUGGCAGGGAAAAAAUAGUUUGUGGAUAAGCAUAAGCUGAGAUAUAAAAACAUCAUGUACAAUAGUGAGCAGUAGGGAGACUGGAAAACGUAACGCAGGUUUCCUUUCUGUUUUGUUCCUUCUUGCUGGCACUCUCGUGAACUGUGCUUAUGGCACUGUCCUUUCCAACUGCAAAAACAUGACUUAACUAUCAAACUGUAUUUCUUAACUACCAAAAUUACUUCCUCAAAAGGAUCCAAACGCCUACUGGUUAUGAGCUGGGAAAGAACUGCACGCCUUAAGCCUGUUAGAAGUUUUGAUAAUGAAGCAGUUUCUAUUUUAUUGGUCUUUCAACAGCAGCUGUUGGUGAUUAGUUAAUCAGAAGUAUCUGUCUUAGUUGAACUUUUUUAAUGACUGGUGCUUGUUCAUGUUCUCGUUUUUUCCAUCUUUCUGGCAGCAGGUGGAGCCAGAAGUUCAGCUUUACACUAAGAGCUUACUGCUGUUGGAGUUCUCUACUCCUGAGGGCUUGCUUUUGUCUUUACCGAUACAAGAAUGUGACCCAGGGUUUGUCUCGCUGCUGGGUGCUGUGUCAAAACGUAGCUUAUGCUGUGCACUCAAGGCCAAUCUUGGGUAGAGGGAACUGCACGAACUGCUUCGUCUAUCUCUAGUAUGAUCAGUACUUGGCAGUUCAUAGUUGUCAGUGUUAGGCUGAUAGGGAUGUAGGACCAUCUGAGAAAGAGGAUGAAGGAAAAAAAGAGGUUUUAUUUCUCAAAGAACUGAAGUAAGGCAAAUCAGAAGGAAAGUGGGGGGUUGUAACAGAACUUGAAAUACUACUUGACAUUAGGAAGUUGCCUUCUGUGGGCAUCCCAGUGGUGCUUUGGUCCAGAGUGAGAGCCAGGACAAGUUGGGUUUCCUGUGUUUGUACAGCAAGAAGUGAGCUUUAUAAAACAUCUACUUUUCCCCUCAGGAAAACAGAUGAGAAAAAUGUGGUGCCAGCAAUGUCAAUCAAUCAAACAGAUCUAGAACUACCCUCAGGGAAACCUCAGCACACCACUGCAUUGACCACUGCUUGGUUGAGGGCUUGGCAUCUGCUCCUGAGGCAUUGCUUUGUCUGCAAGGAGCUGGAGGGGGUUCUUUGGUCCCACUCAGACACUGUGCAGUCAGAGAACUCAUGGGGUCAAGGCAGCCCUGCUUACAGCACUGCUUUGUUUUUCUUUCAAAUACAAGUUCAGAUGCUUUUAUUUUCAUAUUUGGGUUAGUCUGUAUUCAUCCUGCAGCAUCGUGUGCUAACACGGCACAGAUAAGAAGUGACCAUAACAAAUCCUGCCCCGUUGUUUCCCUCCUCAGUGCUGUCUGUCUGUCUGUAUGGUCUUGUUUGCAGAAAUCUGAGCAGGGACUGAGAUGUCUGGAAAAUCCCCAAGCUGUUAUCGGCUCUAGUCCAAAUAAAUAAGAGUAGAAAGCAACUCCCACUCAUUCCUGUAUGAAAUCCUAUUAAUUUUCCAUGAUUUAGGCUAUGUAUAAAGACCUGCAGGAGUAUUGACCCUUUGCACAAUGUGCAAACCAAACAAAGGCCUGGACCUUGGAUGAACUCCCAGUCCUUCCCUGGGGUCUGACACAUGGAGACCUAAUUCUCAACGUAAUACGCUCAUUCGGAAUAGAUGUGAAGUGAGAAUGGGGAAAAGCUGUCUGCAUUGCACAACUCCACUUGAAAUAACAGAAGGAACAGUGUGUAAGGGCAUAAUUCACACUGAGCACCUGACUGAGCUGUAGUUGGCUGUCCAACUCACUGGCUUGUCCUGCAGUGGUGGGGCUGGGGAGUGAACCCCCCUGCCUGGGGGAGAUGAGCAAUGGCUGAGACUGAAAAUCUCCUUUCUGCUCAGCAGGUGCUGUGGCUGCCCUACUGUAGGUGAGUACUGAUGGAGAUCCAACUGCUCCAUCAUCACAGAUGGGUGCAGGAGGAAUGCAUUCCUAUGAGGUGCUGCAUGGAUCUCAUUCUGGAUGCUGGGUGAAGCCUUAUUGGAGGGGAUGGGAGUUAGAUGCAUCCUUAAUUUGAGCCCCAAGGAGGUGAUGUGACCGAGAUGGGAGCAGUGCUUUAUGUUCAGUAGACAGCCACCCAACUCCAGUACCAUUUUUCUCUUCAGGAACACCCUGAGAAGACUGAAAUUUGGCUGCAACUCUCUUUGGUCACCUCUUCUUAGGGCACCCAUAGCAAUUAAUGCUCAUUAGCUGGUGAGCUCUAAGCCAUCAGUGCGUGCCUGACAGCCCUGCAUCUGGCACCAGGAAUGGGAUUUCUUUGGCAUCUAAGCACUGCACUCGUGAGUAAUUGUAUUGUGGAUGGUGCUGAUGGUAGAAAGCAGAAUGUUAUGAAUUGAAGAGGACAAAGAAAACCACGCAGUGGUAUGGAGGGCGGUGGAGCAGGCUGGCUCCAUCUCUGGGCUGGCUGUGCAUGCACAUGAACCAAAGCUGUGUCAUGGGGACAGUUUGUGUUGUCUAGACUGUAAUAAGUGCAAGGCAGCUGGAGCAUGAGCCCAGAGCCUUGGCCUUGCUGAUACUCGCCUCCCUCUCUUGCUCCUUCACAACAAGGUUAAGGGCAGCAGGAGGAAUGUGUGAGAAAGGGAGCGAUGUCUGCACGCAGUGCGGGCUCUGAGCAAAUGAACUCCAGCUUUGGUUCCCAGCACUGAAGUUAACCUUUGAGAGCACAACAGUGAAAACAAGAUGCCUGCCUGAGAUGGCUUACAUUUCUGGGCGGCUGCUGCCUUUGUAACUGAUCAUAGCAAUGUCAUUACAGGCAUCAGGUGGGUGUGG
Molecule: long non-coding RNA, 5074 nt
Filed under: Gallus gallus (chicken)
Lineage: Eukaryota; Metazoa; Chordata; Aves; Galliformes; Phasianidae
Source: RNAcentral